Molecule: long non-coding RNA, 5576 nt
Filed under: Brassica napus (rape)
Lineage: Eukaryota; Viridiplantae; Streptophyta; Magnoliopsida; Brassicales; Brassicaceae
Description: long non-coding RNA (BNAP_LNC025205)
Source: RNAcentral
GGCUCCAUCCCUCUAUGCAUCAUCGCUUCACUCAUCCCACCCGGUUGAGUCAUAUACGGGUGAGGCAAACCCGGUAAUUUCCCUUGACCAAACCCUAAACCAGGUAGCGAAAGAUUAGCCAAACCGGUUUGUCCUAAACCGAACGAGUAACCGGAAGGAGGUCCCAAAUGCGGCUGGAAGCUAAACGGACGUCCAAACGGAGACUGAUGAUUGCUGGCCGUGAGCUGUCUCUCGUAUCUGCCACGCGGCUGCUCAUGGUAAAAGAUUAUGUAAUAUUAAUUUCUUUUUCUAAAAUCCUAUAAAACUGUAAAAUAAUAUUUGAUAGUUGUUUUUCUUUUUUAUAUAAAAAUUUCUAAACAAAAUAAAUUUGUAUAAUAUUUUUAAGUCCUAACCAAAAGAGAAUUGUAAAAAUUUAUUUGAUAAUAUUUUUAAGAGAGUGUUUGAUGAUGAAUAUGAUACUAAAAAUUAUUUAGGUAACAAAAGAAGUGUAAAAAUUAGUAUUGAUACGAAUGGUAAAAAUAGAAAUUUUAAAAAUAUUUAUUAAUAACUAAAAUAAUUAUUUUAUAGCAAUAUAUUUUUUCCUGAAAUUCUAAACAGAAAAUAAUUGUAAUAGGUUAUAUGACAAUAAUUUACCUUUUCUAAAAUCUUAAACAAAUUGUAAAAGAGUAUUUAUAAAAUAGAAUGUUUUCCUUUUUUUAAAAUCCUAGCAAAAUAAAAAUUUUAAGACUUAUUUAAUAAAACAUUAAAUUAGUAGAUAAGAAUACGUAUAAUGUUGUCAUUGAUUCGAUUGUUGUAUUUAACUUUCAUUUCUUUUUACUUUUCAUUUUUUAUUUCGGAUUGUGUUCAAUUUAAAUGUUUAUGUAUGGUAUUUUCUCUAAUCCUUAGUAUACCGUUUAUAACAACUCAUCUAUGCACCAUGAUUAUAAAAUAAAAAUAUUAACUUGAACUUAUGUGUGAAAACGAGUUUUAAUUAUAAAAUAAAUUUCAAACAACAUAUGCAAAAAACAAUCAUAAUACUAUAAUAAAAUGAUUUAUUAUUUUAUGGUUUUUAUUAAAUUAAAACAUCAAACAAAACCCGUUGCAACGGAGUUGGAAAGGGUCCUUCUGUAUAAGAGAAAGGUCCAGAGAGAGAAAGUAGAUCCGAUCUUGGGUCCGGCGUAUGACCGGCGCGUGAGCGAGCGUGCCGUCGCUGGAACCCUUCGCUUUACCGUUGAGAAAACUCCCCUGCUUCUCCCUCGCCUCCUUUCCCUAUCGCCUUGUCGGAGCUCUGGUCCAGGCCUCAUCUGUCGUCGUCACCUCGGGGAGUGAACCGACAUCAUUGGUGGCGCUGCGUCUGGAGUAACGACGCGAUCGUGUGAAGGGUGGGUGUGGUGAAGUCGGUUUGUUAGAUUAGGUUUCGAUUCCGGGAGGUAGAGGCAUCUAAAGCUCCAUCGCCGCCGGCCUUGUUUCCGGGAAGUGGAGGCUUCCUCAGCUCUGCUUUCGCCGGCUUUAGUCUCCGGGGGGUGAAGGUGUUUUUUGCCUUGCGUCGCCGGCUCUUGGUCCCCUAUUUCCGUUUUAGGGUUUUUUAUCUUUGUUUUGGCGGUUUCGGGUUGGUUUUGAUGGAGGAGCUCUCGUCGGAGGAUGAUUGACACUCUCCGGUGGUUUAUGGUGAUGGUUUGUGCGAAAUCUUCUUCUCGGUGUUGGUGAUUAAUGGUGGCGGGUGAGAUCUCGUCCUUGCGAUUGAUGCUCUCCGAUAAUAGAAGCACCUGAUUUGAAGGCGUUUGCGGUGAUGAUGGGGUGGAGCUGACGAGCUCUGAUGUGUCCCGGUGGAUCGAUCGAUGGAUGUUUCACAGGGGGUGGCUUGAAGGGGGGCGACGUCGUGGCUCGAAGCGAUGGUUCACGGAUACGGCGGCGUCCUUUUCGGUUUCUAGGGUUUUUUUAGUUGGGCUUGUGGGCCUUGUGUGUGUGUUUUAAGUUUGCCUUUACCGAUGGGCUUUGUAUCUGUUGAGUUUGUCUCAUUAAUUAAAGAAAUUAUUGAUGGCAAAAAAAAAAAAACCUGUUGCAACGCAACGAACUCAUAUCUUGUAAAAGAUAAACUUGACGUCCCAGGAUGUCACUAAUAUGCAGUGCUACUGCAGUCGCAGCAAUGUUACUAUCCAGUAAAACAUGUCAAGGCUCCAUUUCUCAAUAUUAAGGAGCAAAGCAUAGAUUGCAGUGGCGAGAUAAAUUGUGGGGACCAAAGAAGAGGACAAAAUUUCUAUACUCAAGACAUAUGAUGCCUCAAAAACUUAUUGCAACUCACAACACCAAACCUACAAGAGGACAAUGCAUGUGGUACAAAGAAGUGAAACAACCACGCACACCGGUAGAGACUAUGGUAAUGCAUCAAAAACCGACCAAAAAAUUGUCAACCAUAUAAUGUGUGUCCAAUACGUCUUGAUAAGAAAGAUGAAUUUUAAUCCAUAACAUAACUCAGCUUCCAGAUGAAGCAAUGAUAUUACGAAGAAGGAGAACGAAAAAACACGAUAGUUAGAGAAGUCAUACUGUUGACCUUCCAAUCCGGUUAAACACAAAGACAAAUCCUGUAAAUAAUAUUGAAACUUACGUCAACACAGAAGCACUAUCAGAUUUGAGCUAAUAGCCUUGAAAUCAAACAUAUCGAAAAAUGAAAAGGUAAAAAAUGAAGGGAUUGGCUUUGGAAGCUAUUAUCAAAAAAAAAAAAGAACUUACCGGCUAGAGUUUAUGGAGAGAAAACCUUAAAUCCAAUGAAGUAAAAAGAAAAAAAAAAUCAUGGAAAGUAUAGAGACCUAUAACUUCCAGGUAAGCUCGGCUCGUACAGUAAACCCAAUAACCAUUUCUUUAACCGGUUCGAUAUCUCUUGAACCUGAUCUAGGAUCCGAAUUUAGACCGGGUCUAAAACCAAUAAGAAUUUCAUCGAAAGAGACCAACGAGGAGUCGAGAGAGAGGGAGAGAGCAAUGGCACCUUCGUCGUCGAGCGGUUUGACCUUCAAGCUCCAUCCUCUAGUAAUCGUCAACAUAUCGGAUCACUACACCAGGGUCAAGACUCAGCUAAACCCUCCGCCUUCAGUCUGCGCAACCGAGAACGCCUCCUCCAACAACGGCGAAGCAAUGUUGCAGCCGAACCCUAGGGUUUACGGAUGCGUGAUCGGCGUCCAGAGAGGCCGCACUGUGGAGAUCUUCAACAGCUUCGAGCUUUUGUUCGAUCCUUCGACUGAAACCCUCGAUAGGUCCUUCCUCGAGAAGAAGCAAGAGCUCUGUGAGCUCUCUCUCACUCUCUCUAUUCUCUUGUCCUUUGGAUAAUUUUAUGGGGUUUUGAUUGAUUAUUCUUGUUGUUUAUCAGACAAGAAAGUGUUCCCUGACUUCUACGUGUUGGGAUGGUACUCUACGGGGAGUGACGCUGAGGAGUCUGAUAUGCUUAUCCACAAAGCCGUGAGUUUUCAAAGUGUUUUUGUAGGAUUAAGAUUUGAUCUGAAUGUACUGAAAAGUGCGUGGCUUUCGUGUCGUGACAGUUGAUGGAUAUCAAUGAGUCUCCCGUUUAUGUGCUUCUUAACCCGGCAAUCAAUCACGCACAGAAGGAUCUCCCAGUUACCAUUUAUGAAAGUGGUAUGCUUUCAGUUACUCUUAUCUUCCUUUUACUGGUUUAGAAGUUACUGUGACGUACGUGAUUAUGUAAUGCCACACUGUUAGCUUGUUACUGUAGGUAUAUGUUGUGUGUAGUUCAGAGUUACCUCCAUCUUUGUUCACUUCCAGAUUUAAAGUUCCUAACUUUUCUAAUUGAUUGGAAGAGUUGCAUGUCAUUGAUGGAAUCCCACAGCUCAUUUUUGCUCAUACAAGCUACACAAUCGAGGUCUGUGCUUAAUUUUGAUUCUGCUGUUAACCUAUGGUGUGAACUUGACUGAGAUUCUUGAGAUGUUAACCCAAACAGACAGUUGAAGCUGAACGGAUAUCAGUCGAUCAUGUUGCACAUCUCAAACCGUCUGAUGGAGGCUCAGCAGCAACCCAGUGUGAGCCUUUAUACCUCUCUCAUACUUAUCAUAAUCCAUUUGUUUCAGUGACACUGAAGCUUGACUGAUUACUUGUUAAUAUGCAGUGGCUGCUCAUCUUACUGGGAUACAUAGUGCCAUCAAAAUGCUUAAUAGCAGAAUCAGAGUGCUCCACCAGUACCUUGCAGCUAUGGAGAAAGGUACCUUCUAUUUUUCCCUUCCUUAAGUGCUUUAGGUGACACGGAUAAUGACUCGUGGGUUCUUAUUUCUAGGUGAUAUUCCUUGUGAAAACUCACUUCUGAGACAAGUAUCUAGCCUGCUAAGAAGGUUGCCUGCCAUGGAAUCAGAGAGGUUUCAUGAUAACUUUUUGAUGGUGAGUUACAUUUGCAUCAUAUUCUUUCUAAGUAUGGCUUGUUUUCUCAAAUAUCUCUCAAACUUAUGUAAUUCUCUCCUUUUGCAGGAGUACAACGACAAAUUGCUAGUAACUUACCUAGCAAUGAUUACAAAUUGUACCAGGUCUGUACCAUAUAUAACAUUCUAUAUAAAGUAUUCGACUGCAGAGUCAUAUGCAGGCCAACGUUUACAAAACAUGUGGCAAUCAUGCUACGCCUUUAUGUUCUGUUAUCAUCAUUAGUAACUAUGAAAGGUGUAAUUGUCAUUGGACUGAUGACUCUGUUUUAUCUGUAAACUUCUUUUUUUUUUGGUUCAAUCUGCAGCACCAUGAACGAGAUGGUGGACAAAUUCAACAUUGCGUAUGACAGAAACGCUCGAAGAGGUGGAAGAACUGCGUUCAUGUAAAAGUGUUUUUUUUCCAGCAGAUUCAAGCUGAAAAAUAUCUUCUUCUUUUUUUUUGCGUUUGCCUCGGAGUUAAUCUAUAAAUGAGUCUUAGUCUUCCUCGUGAUUGUUUCUAUCUAUGUACGAAGCUUCUCCGUACUGAAAACUCUUGUUUGAUUUUUUCCAAAUUUCCAUUGUUAGUAAAAAGAUUUUUACGGUUGAAGCUUUGUAAACUUUUGUUACACUUGGGUUAUGUGUUGAAUUAUGUUAUGUCUAAUAUAAAAAAGACAUCCAAAAAAGCUCAAGCAAAAUAAAAAGAAGACAAAAACUAAGGAAUGAAAAUAGAAAUAGCCUUGACCUUCCUCCCCAAGGUUUCAAACAAAUAUAAUAAAGAAAAUGAAACAGAAAUAGAAAUUAAAAGUUAUUGUAACUUGUAAGCCCCCAAGCAAAUGCAAAAGAAAAGGAGAAGAGAGUAAGUAAAUCUUCAAAUCUGUGGUAAUCUACUCAUGAUCUGGUUAUAAACCGAUUGUCCCGUCUCCGAAACCGGUUCCACCUUCGGCUCCAUCCCUCUAUGCAUCAUCGCUUCACUCAUCCCACCCGGUUGAGUCAUAUACGGGUGAGGCAAACCCGGUAAUUUCCCUUGACCAAACCCUAAACCAGGUAGCGAAAGAUUAGCCAAACCGGUUUGUCCUAAACCGAACGAGUAACCGGAAGGAGGUCCCAAAUGCGGCUGGAAGCUAAACGGACGUCCAAACGGAGACUGAUGAUUGCUGGCCGUGAGCUGUCUCUCGUAUCUGCCACGCGGCUGCUCAUGGNNNN